UUAAAUUGAAGAGUUUGAUCAUGGCUMARCUUGAACGCUGGCGUCAGGCCUAACACAUGCAAGUAGAACGGUAACCUGAAUCA
This 83-nucleotide ribosomal RNA is filed under the name Escherichia coli. Its description in RNAcentral is "partial 16S ribosomal RNA". Lineage: Bacteria; Pseudomonadati; Pseudomonadota; Gammaproteobacteria; Enterobacterales; Enterobacteriaceae. The record is from RNAcentral.